AAGAUAUGGAGAGAUUUGAACCCUCAUAUAUUGCUGCUGGAAUUGUGAAGUGGCUCGGCUGCUUUGGAAAAUUGUUUGGCAGUUUCUUAAAAUGUGAACUAUAUUUAUAUAUUUGUAGAUAUUUUAUAUCAUCUAGCAAUUCUAUUCCUAGAUGUUCAACCAAGAGAAAUUAAGAUGUGUAUCGAUAUGAAGACUUGAACAUGCACAUUCAUAGCAACGUUGUUCAGAGUAUCUAAAAGAUGAGAUGAGUACUUGACUUGAAUACGUGGAAAGUCACAUAUAUCAGGCUAAAGAAAGCAUUUAGUGGACACCUCCAAAAUGCCAAGCACCAAUACACAUUUUUCUCAUUUAAUCCUCCCAGCAGCAUUAAAAGAAAAACAAAUGCUAACAGGAAACAAAGAAUGCUUCCUUUAUUGCUUGGGUAAUGCAAGCCAACAUCAAAAUUGAUGAAGAAACAGAUUGGACUUGUUUAGGAAAGAAGACAGAUGUGUAUUUGUAACUGAGAAGCUAACAGAGCAAGUCUAACUUCAGCCAGAACUUCAAAUACUGAUCGUUGGAACAUUGCUUCGCUCAGUCUCUCCUCUAUUUCUUGAUGAUUGAGGGCUUCAGACUGUAGUAUCUCUAUUGUUUAAAACCUACCAGGGAUGUUGUCGCAAGUCUUCUGAAUAUGAGACACAGGAUGGACAAGCUCUUUAAAGGGAGAUGGCUUCAAAUACCAAGGACAUGGUGAUAAGGAACCAAGACGUUAUCACUGGGAGACAAGCUCCUGACUGUGACUUCCUACGGAAGGAUGAUCAGAGCCUGUGUGCAAGUGUGCCAUGGCUGAGUGAACAGCCUGUCAAGGAAUGUGUUAUCAUCAGCGCAGAACCCAGACUUGACUGGAUGUAAAUUUACACACACAUUUAAACAUAUGGAAUUUGUCUAGCAAAUAUGCUCUUGUGGUGUAGGAUACUUUAAUAAAGAUUAAUAAUAAAUCGGAUA
This is a non-coding RNA of Macaca mulatta (Rhesus monkey), 981 nucleotides long. The record is from RefSeq and is a predicted model, not a curated record. Lineage: Eukaryota; Metazoa; Chordata; Mammalia; Primates; Cercopithecidae.